Molecule: long non-coding RNA, 1920 nt
Filed under: Rhipicephalus microplus (southern cattle tick)
Lineage: Eukaryota; Metazoa; Arthropoda; Arachnida; Ixodida; Ixodidae
Description: uncharacterized LOC119174419
Source: RNAcentral
AAAAGAUAAAUGGGUGCAGCAUAUGUACACCAUAACUAACGACUACCACUUGUGUUGCCUCACUCAAUUGUUUGUUUACAAAAGCAUACCAUUUUUUUUAUAAUUUGUUGGCACCAUUGCAAAGGCUACACAAACGUAAUUGUAAAUCCUGUUUGGCGAGGUCUUGCAGCAAUGUGCGAUGCUGUGGUGUGUGCUACAAUGACUGCCCGCAGUAACAAAGCCUAAUCCAAGCAUUCUUUACCAACACCAAAAAUGUUUUGCAAGUAUAAUACUCGUGGAUUGAAACAGAACAGGACAAUUUAGGGCUAAGUAAUGCACAUACUUGCAUUUGCUCACUUUUCAGUUCAGGUUAUAUAGGCAUAAUUUUGAUUCGGACAUGUACAUCAAAGCCAAUAUCAUCUUUACUAACCAGAUUUGAUAUGACUUGACUUUGUUAUCACGAACAAUUGUGCAUACCAAUUAUUCUAAAAAAACUUCAUGUUACGUUUGAAUCCAUGAACAUUCUACAUACAGUAACAUAGAGAAGGAGAAUGUGUUCUUAAUCUUGGUACUACCAGAGGUAACCGAAUAAUAAAAAAUGUCAAUUGGCACAUGUUCUACAUUGAAUAUCUUAUGCCUUUAAUUGAAACCUCUUCAUAUUUGUCUGAUAGCCAAGGCAAUUAGUAUACUUGAACAUAGUAACAUGUUGUUACCUAGUGUCAGAGUGCUCAGAUGCAGGACACUAAAAAAAAAAAAACAUUUGUAGCACUGGGCUUUGUUACUAUAAUUAGGCCACAAGCACAUUAUUUUUGUCUAACAACCUUUUUGCUACGUUUACUUUGGUUACCACACUUAGCGACUCGGAAGCAUCUAGCAUGUAAAAGCACUUAAUGCUGUUUAUUUCUUGGUUGCAGUGCACCCGCACCUCCAACGACUCGGACCACUGCUACACCAUCUGUGGCUGUGCCUUCCCUGGGAAGCAACAAUGGGCCAGAUGUUUUUUUGUUAAAAGAAACUGCAAGCCGAGCACAUGUACCAUUGCAACAACAUGCUGCACAGCAGCCCACAGUUAGCCAUGUAGCCCCUGAAAAACGAAGAAGCAGCACUGGCGAAGCUGACAAGGGUCUCGAGGACAUGACCUGGGCUAGUGCACAGAACAUCAGAUUUUUCAAACAAAUGCAGGAGAAGUUUGCGAGGCUCAGUCCAGAAGUAGUGUGGACGAUGAAGGCCGACAUUCUCAAUAUGCUCGACAAGGCAGCCAAGCCUUAAAAACAAACUGCGAUAACUACCUUGCUAGACUGCUCCGCUCAAGUCCCAUAGCCCCACCUAACAAUAGCUAUUUUAAAUAGCACAUAGAUAACAUCAGAUCAGUUCAGUUCAGUCUGAACUCUUGCACAGUCUAAAAGGCCACAUAUCAUACCUAUUAUAAUAUGCAACUGUGGUGUGAACAUGAGUAAACAUGAUUAUGCCGCACUGUGGAUACUGGAAAUCACUUCAAGGCUUCCCAUUAUAUGACAGCUGAACAUAACUGUGACUAUUGGUUGCAUGUUAGGCAAUGGUCAUCUUGAUGCCUUGGUGAGAUUUGGUUCAUUGAAUAAAAAACUACAUAUUGUAACGCACGGUUCAAUGAAAACAUUUAAUAAGCUAAUGUAGGCAGGGCGAACUUGUGCCCGAGAAUAAUAACACAGCUAGAAUGAAAUCGCCUAGUUGUUUCGAGAAUUCACUUCUGCCUCUUCUUUCACGUUCUUUUUUCCAACACGGUUCGCGCACAGCUGGGCCCGCAGGCUCGUGCGUCGCAAACCAUCUGGAGGGCACAAGUAUCGGCUAGCGCACGUAACUUGAAGUCACAUUGUGUUUAUCGCAAGUAAGGAACACUGACACCUAUAAUUCAGCAACCUAUCAUUUACCCAAGCACUAAAUAAACUCUCCCUCCUCUGCAAA